This 397-nucleotide ribosomal RNA is filed under the name uncultured bacterium. Its description in RNAcentral is "partial 16S ribosomal RNA". It matches the Rfam family "Bacterial small subunit ribosomal RNA", at positions 523 to 918 of the family's 1533-position model. The record is from RNAcentral.
AUACGUAGGUGACAAGCGUUAUCCGGAUUUACUGGGCGUAAAGGGCGUGUAGGCGGUCUUGCAAGUCAGAAGUGAAAUUCCUGAGCUCAACUCGGGCGCUGCUUCUGAAACUGCUGGACUUGAGUGCUGGAGGGGAUAGCGGAAUUCCUAGUGGAGCGGUAAAAUGCGCAGAUAUUAGGAAGAACACCGGUGGCGAAGGCGGCUAUCUGGACAGUAACUGACGCUGAGGCGCGAAAGCGUGGGGAGCAAACAGGAUUAGAUACCCUGGUAGCCCACGCCGUAAACGAUGAAUACUAGGUGUAGGGGGUAUCGACUCCCUCUGUGCCGCAGUUAGCACAAUAAGUAUUCCGCCUGGGGAGUACGGCCGCAAGGUUGAAACUCAAAUGAAUUGACGGGG